GCCGGGCAUGGUGGCGCGUGUCUGUAGUCCCAGCUACUCGGGAGGCUGAGACAGGAGAAUUGCUUGAACCCAGGAGGUGGAGGUUGCAGUGAGCCGAGAUCGUGCCACUGCACACUCCAGCCUGGGCGACAGAGCAAGACUCCGUCUCAA
This is an unclassified non-coding RNA of Pongo abelii (Sumatran orangutan), 150 nucleotides long. It matches the Rfam family "Metazoan signal recognition particle RNA". From Rfam's summary of the family: The signal recognition particle (SRP) is a universally conserved ribonucleoprotein. It is involved in the co-translational targeting of proteins to membranes. The record is from Ensembl. NCBI's taxonomy places the organism in Eukaryota, Metazoa, Chordata, Mammalia, Primates, Hominidae.